RNAcentral lists this ribosomal RNA (228 nucleotides) under uncultured bacterium. RNAcentral describes it as "partial 16S ribosomal RNA". It matches the Rfam family "Bacterial small subunit ribosomal RNA", at positions 103 to 334 of the family's 1533-position model. The record is from RNAcentral.
CGGGUGAGUAAUGUCUGGGAAACUGCCUGAUGGAGGGGGAUAACUACUGGAAACGGUAGCUAAUACCGCAUAACGUCGCAAGACCAAAGAGGGGGACCUUCGGGCCUCUUGCCAUCGGAUGUGCCCAGAUGGGAUUAGCUAGUAGGUGGGGUAAUGGCUCACCUAGGCGACGAUCCCUAGCUGGCCUGAGAGGAUGACCAGCCACACUGGAACUGAGACACGGUCCAG